RNAcentral lists this ribosomal RNA (640 nucleotides) under Limosilactobacillus reuteri. RNAcentral describes it as "bacterial SSU rRNA". It matches the Rfam family "Bacterial small subunit ribosomal RNA", at positions 64 to 677 of the family's 1533-position model. Lineage: Bacteria; Bacillati; Bacillota; Bacilli; Lactobacillales; Lactobacillaceae. The record is from RNAcentral.
UGAUUGAUGGUGCUUGCACCUGAUUGACGAUGGAUCACCAGUGAGUGGCGGACGGGUGAGUAACACGUAGGUAACCUGCCCCGGAGCGGGGGAUAACAUUUGGAAACAGAUGCUAAUACCGCAUAACAACAAAAGCCACAUGGCUUUUGUUUGAAAGAUGGCUUUGGCUAUCACUCUGGGAUGGACCUGCGGUGCAUUAGCUAGUUGGUAAGGUAACGGCUUACCAAGGCGAUGAUGCAUAGCCGAGUUGAGAGACUGAUCGGCCACAAUGGAACUGAGACACGGUCCAUACUCCUACGGGAGGCAGCAGUAGGGAAUCUUCCACAAUGGGCGCAAGCCUGAUGGAGCAACACCGCGUGAGUGAAGAAGGGUUUCGGCUCGUAAAGCUCUGUUGUUGGAGAAGAACGUGCGUGAGAGUAACUGUUCACGCAGUGACGGUAUCCAACCAGAAAGUCACGGCUAACUACGUGCCAGCAGCCGCGGUAAUACGUAGGUGGCAAGCGUUAUCCGGAUUUAUUGGGCGUAAAGCGAGCGCAGGCGGUUGCUUAGGUCUGAUGUGAAAGCCUUCGGCUUAACCGAAGAAGUGCAUCGGAAACCGGGCGACUUGAGUGCAGAAGAGGACAGUGGAACUUCAUGUGUA